Molecule: ribosomal RNA, 301 nt
Filed under: uncultured bacterium
Lineage: Bacteria
Description: partial 16S ribosomal RNA
Rfam family: Bacterial small subunit ribosomal RNA
Source: RNAcentral
CAGCCGCCGCGGGAAUACGAAGGGUGCAAGCGUUAAUCGGAAUUACUGGGCGUAAAGCGUGCGUAGGCGGUGAGUUAAGUCUGCUGUGAAAUCCCCGGGCUCAACCUGGGAAUGGCAGUGGAUACUGGCUCGCUAGAGUGUGUCAGAGGAUGGUGGAAUUCCCGGUGUAGCGGUGAAAUGCGUAGAGAUCGGGAGGAACAUCAGUGGCGAAGGCGGCCAUCUGGGACAACACUGACGCUGAGGCACGAAAGCGUGGGGAGCAAACAGGAUUAGAGACCCGAGUAGUCCCUGUCUCUUAUAC